ACGAUGCUAAUGUUAGCGCGUGUUCUGAGAUAAAUGCACCGUAACACCAGAAACAAGUUUUAACUCUGAUUACUGAAGCUGUGGUUCUGCUUUUAUAAGUUCCAAUAUGUUUUGUCCCUGACGUCUUAAUCAAAACAAGCUCAGGUUUCAGCUCGUUCAUUCGUUCGACUGUUUAUAUCAUUAAAAUGUUUGAGUUUCAGCCUCAUAAAGCGCCACCUGCUGCAGUCAGUGCUCGCCGCUCUGCUCUCGCGCCAGCGAAUACCUCAGAUGUUCUGUAAUGGUGUUUCAGCCUCUUAAUCAGACACCGGCCUCACAGAGCCGCGGUGAGAGCUUUUCUUUCCCCGGGUCAGUGGAUUUAGACAAACCGCAGGAUGUAAUCCCAUUUUCCACUCGCAGACGGAGCCCUGAACUCGGCGAAUCUCGCGCCUCUAAGUAGCGGAGGCGCCGUCCUGCCCCUCUGCCGCCCGGCAACAAGCCAGGGCAGGGUGGGGGGUCCCCCCUGGCUCGAACCAACCAGACCCACCAGGCUAUCUGAGAGUGUGUGUGUGUGUGUGUGUGUGUGUGUGUGUGUUCAGCAGAGAGAGAGAGAGAGAGCACAGUGUGGGGUCCAUAUGUUGAAAGAGAAGAAGAAGCUGUGAGGACUCGCUGCAGGAGUGGCCUCCAGUUUCUGGAGCAUUUUCCCGUUGGACAGAAGUGAAAUCACCUGCACGUCUCUUCUCUCCUCCAGAUGUUGAACACUGAGGUGCAACAUGGACGCUGGGUGACGAGGUCGGGUUCGUCCCAGACGUGUUGGACACUCAUCAGAUCUUUAAGGAGCUGCUUUGAUCACAGGGUGUUUUCAGGAGUGAGAAACGAAGGGAAGAAAUAAAAUCGUCUCUUCACACACAGAUUGCAGGAUUUCUUUUCAUUAUAAAUUAAUUUCUGAUUUAUUUUGGUCUCCACAUGCAGCUGCUAAAAUGGUUAAAAUGAUGUUCAUAUUUUUUCAUAUUUUGUCAGUUUUAUGUGAAAACCAACGAGUUCACACACACACACACACACACACACACACACAAAGUUGAGUUCACCUUCUGUAUUUUAAACUUGUAUUUGCUCGUGUGCUUUUCUUUCAUGUGUUUCAUUUUAGUUUGUGAGGCAAUAAAAAGAAGCUUGAAGCUUGA
Molecule: long non-coding RNA, 1157 nt
Organism: Seriola aureovittata
Lineage: Eukaryota; Metazoa; Chordata; Actinopteri; Carangiformes; Carangidae
Exons: 2
Source: RefSeq, a predicted model, not a curated record